ACUAUUUUGACAGAAUAAUGUGUUAAAUUUAGAAUUUAAUUAAAUAUAAAUUAUAUUUAUAUAAGUAGUA
Molecule: transfer RNA, 70 nt
Filed under: Neostromboceros nipponicus
Lineage: Eukaryota; Metazoa; Arthropoda; Insecta; Hymenoptera; Tenthredinidae
Description: tRNA-Leu
Source: RNAcentral